This 218-nucleotide long non-coding RNA is filed under the name Brassica napus (rape). RNAcentral describes it as "long non-coding RNA (BNAP_LNC013487)". The record is from RNAcentral. Lineage: Eukaryota; Viridiplantae; Streptophyta; Magnoliopsida; Brassicales; Brassicaceae.
UGGGGUGUUAUUCAGUUAGUGAUUUAAAAGCAACUAUUAAUGUUUUUUAAUCUAUCAAAUUCUAAAGUUUAAAGAUAAUUUAAGUUGAUGGAUUCUAAAAUCUAUGGAGUAUGCAUUAGAUUUUGAAUUCAAUCAUUUAUUCAUGAGACUCCGUAAUAAAUGAUUUGAAAUCAAUCUAAAUUACAAAGAAUUUUAAAAUCCUUAAAAGUUGAGUAACA